Eucalyptus grandis is the source of this 2285-nucleotide long non-coding RNA. RefSeq lists it as uncharacterized. The transcript is spliced from 2 exons. The record is from RefSeq and is a predicted model, not a curated record. NCBI's taxonomy places the organism in Eukaryota, Viridiplantae, Streptophyta, Magnoliopsida, Myrtales, Myrtaceae.
UAGCGACGGUGACGCUACUUGAUGUCGCUCGGAUCGCCUUCCAGUCCGGAGAACGAGAUCGAACCGGUCGCCGCGUCGACAUCGGCGAUCGGCGCCGUCGCCGUCGCCGGAGCACCGAUCAGAGCCGCCGAGCCAAGCGGGGCCGCCUCCCGCGCGAGCGAUGAUAACUCGAUCGAAGCUCGUUGAGCGGCUCAGAGACCACCAGGUCCGGUCCCGGCGCCGUUGCCCUGGCCUCGCGCUCUUCUCCCCCAAACCACACAUCGCCACCCGGGCUGAUGCUGCUGUGGCUAUAUUUUGGGCUGUGGUGUUUAGCAUACUCGUCGGACUCACUUAUCUGGCGUUCUGUCAUGGUCAUUUCUGGCUGUCCUUUUUGACUGCAGGCCUUGGAAGCUGUCUACUUGUAUGCUUCUGGAAAUCUAGGCAUGCGCUGGCCAGAGAAAAGGAGAAAAGAUUACCGCUGUCCCUGUGAGCAUCGAUAAGUAUUUGACAUGAAAUCUUCUAACUUGGUCAAGGAGCUUUGGUUGCUCACCUUCGAAUCGAGCAAAUUGGCAAAUACAUCCCUGGUGCACGUGAUAAUGGUUGCCCAGAGUUUUGCCUGCCACUGUGAGAUAAUGGUACCAUUUCAUGUAUCAUUCUUUGUAACCCAAAUUCAUCCCGCAAAAUUUUGAUGCAUGCUGUUCUUCUCUUAUUCAUCAUGCUUCCUUUUCAUGUAAAUACCAUAUACAAGCAAAGUUAUAGACGAGUUCUUGUUAAUCUUCCCUUAGCACUUUUAUGACUUGUAAAUUACAUCUCCUAGGACUUCAUGCAUGAGUAAUCUCUCAAUGAAGUUGGUGUAACAUGCUUUUGCACAGAUUUGACAUGUGAAAGGAUGCUACUAAGGCGGAACAUAAAAAUUAAGACUAUGCUAUAAGAGAAUUGACAUGAGAGUUGCCUAGGCUGCUUUAGUUAACAGGUUCAAUAUUAAGCUUCGCUGUAUCACCUUUCCGUUUUUUAUUCUUCUCCUUUCUACAAUCCCUCUGUGGCACCUUUAAAGCUUUUGUGUGCCUUUCUCUCAUCACUAAAUGGAAUUACAUAUUAUCCAGAAAGGAAGAAGAACAAUCCUAUCUUAUGCAAUACCCUGGUCAGAAUCUGAUCUUAUCAUAGUUUAUUCCUGUACACAUAGGCUCUUCAUUUUAGCACGCAUACGAAGUUGAGGAUGUGGAGAUGAUUUGAUGGCUUGAGAGUUCUUUGAGGAUAAUUUGCAUGAGUAUUCGUGCUGGGUAGUUGAAUUCACUUGUUAUCCUAAGAGACUUCACCAAUGGGGCAGAUUUAGUACCAGUAACCAUGUGCCUUUUGAAGGCUAAUGUUCUGCCAAGCCUUCUUAUGAAAGACUAAUCAAUGGCACACACAUUCUUGCAGUGACAACUAGUCAUUCUAAGACCAAUUUCUAAUCCAUUCACCUAUCUAUUAUCAGUUCAAAUAUCUCUUUCCCUUUUGUCUUCGUGCUGUUGUUAGUCAGAGAUUUGUAUGCCUGGUAAUACGUUUGCUGUUUUUACCACUCUCUUUUUUUGGAAAGACAAGUUUUACAUUCCAUUCUAUUUUGGACUUUUUACUGGUAAUGUUCUGCUUUCAUGUUUUUGAGGCAAUGAUUGGACUUACUCAAUUGGACUUACUCAUUUUGGUGUAAGGUCCUUGCUAGCUAUAGUUGGGAUUAUCAAUGCUUAAUCCUCUGGAUACUUCUCUCCUUUGCUGCAACAUUUUUGGUCAGACUUGGAUUGGUUCACAAACCCUCUGCUGCUGCGUGUUACACAUUCUUUUUCUUUUUGUUCUUUAUCGAGCAUGAAUUGCAUAUAUUUUGGUCCAUCUCGUGCUGCCCUAGUACUGCAGCUGUAUAGGGUUGUUUCAAUCAAUUCAGUUAGUUCAUUUGAUUGCAGAAAAGUUUGCAUGCUUUUUAACUAAAAAGAGUGGGUUUGAUUUGAUUGACGUCAGUUGCCAAUGGUCACAAUUGUUCUGGAGGAGUUCGCUCACUAGGCAUAUGUUGAAGAGCAAAUCAUGGAUCUGAAAUUUGUAAUCCAGUGAUGGAAGCAUAUUCUUUAAGCCAGUGGAAUGCACAGCUCUCAUCAUGUGAUAGUCCUGGAUCAAUAUAGACUCCAGCUAGAUUUAGACUGCUAAGUUGUUUGGUCAGUAUUUGAGUGGAUUAAUGAUGCCCUUGUAGCUUUAGACAGAGUUGCCUCUUGCCAGUCAUGUACAAUAUAGUCAAUGUUGCUCUGUUAUUGCAGCUCAAGCACUGUGAUUCGUUUACUUCC